RNAcentral lists this ribosomal RNA (966 nucleotides) under Triticum aestivum (bread wheat). RNAcentral's name for it is "partial small subunit ribosomal RNA". The record is from RNAcentral. Lineage: Eukaryota; Viridiplantae; Streptophyta; Magnoliopsida; Poales; Poaceae.
AUGGGGAGGUCGCCGUGCUGCUGCCACGACGUGGGCGUCAAGAAGGGGCCGUGGACGGAGGAGGAGGACAAGACGCUGGUGGAGCACAUCCAGAAGCGCGGCGGGCACGUCGGCAGCUGGCGCGGCCUGCCCAAGGCCGCCGGCCUCAACCGCUGCUGCAAGAGCUGCCGCCUCCGGUGGACCAACUACCUCCGCCCCGACAUCAAGCGCGGCAACUUCUCCGACGACGAGGAGCGCCUCAUUAUCACCCUCCACGCCGGUCACGGCAACAAGUGGGCGACGAUCGCGACGCACCUGGAGGGCCGGACGGACAACGAGAUCAAGAACCACUGGAACACGCACAUCCGCAAGAAGCUCCUACGCAUGGGCGUCGACCCCGUCACCCACCAGCAGCUGCCACCCGACCACCAGCUCGACGGCUCCUCCGCCGCUCUCCUCCCCGAGGCGCUCCUCUGGGCAGCGGCGGCAGCGACCCUCGGCGGCCUGGACAUCGGCACUCUCAGGCAAGCGCAGCUUCUGCAGCACCUCCUCCAGGCCGGCUCCAACAACGACGCAACUAACCUCGUAGCCAACUUGAUGGCUGCAUCAAAUGUUGGGCUGAACUCAAGCAACAGCAUAGUUCCAAACAUCCUGCUCCAGGACAAGUUUAACAUGCUGCCUGGUACGAACUAUCUACAGCCGGGCUACCUCUGCAACACCUCCAAUUUUGCAGAGCAAGACGUGGUGCAGCAGCAGCUGAUCAAUGCUAUGUCUCCGGGAACGAGUUCCUUUGCAGCAGCUGAACCAGCUGAUCAGCUCUGCAACACUGCUGCAUUCACAGCGCGUGAUAUUGCACCGGGGAUUGACAUGCUGCCGGUGCAGGAGUUCGCCGGCUUGAUGGAGCCCAUGGAACAACUACCCAAUCUAUGCUCCCUAGAGAGCGAUUCUUUCUGGAAGGAACUACUUGAGGACGGCUAUCGUCUAUAG